AGAACGAACGCUGGCGGCAUGCCUAACACAUGCAAGUCGAACGAGACCUUCGGGUCUAGUGGCGCACGGGUGCGUAACGCGUGGGAAUCUGCCCUAUGGUUCGGAAUAACAGUUAGAAAUGACUGCUAAUACCGGAUAAUGUCUUCGGACCAAAGAUUUAUCGCCAAAGGAUGAGCCCGCGUAAGAUUAGCUAGUUGGUAGGGUAAAAGCCUACCAAGGCGACGAUCUUUAGCUGGUCUGAGAGGAUGAUCAGCCACACUGGGACUGAGACACGGCCCAGACUCCUACGGGAGCAGCAGUGGGGAAUAUUGGACAAUGGGCGAAAGCCUGAUCCAGCAAUGCCGCGUGAGUGAUGAAGGCCUUAGGUUGUAAAGCUCUCUUACCCGGGAUGAUAAUGACAGUACCGGAGAAGUACGCCCCGAUAACUCCGUGCCAGCAGCCGC
This 443-nucleotide ribosomal RNA is filed under the name uncultured soil bacterium. RNAcentral describes it as "bacterial SSU rRNA". It matches the Rfam family "Bacterial small subunit ribosomal RNA", at positions 26 to 518 of the family's 1533-position model. The record is from RNAcentral.